This 441-nucleotide ribosomal RNA is filed under the name uncultured bacterium. Its description in RNAcentral is "partial 16S ribosomal RNA". It matches the Rfam family "Bacterial small subunit ribosomal RNA", at positions 338 to 795 of the family's 1533-position model. The record is from RNAcentral.
CCUACGGGUGGCAGCAGUGGGGAAUAUUGCACAAUGGGGGAAACCCUGAUGCAGCGACGCCGCGUGAGGGAUGAAGUCCCUCCGGGUUGAAAACUCUAUCAGCCGGGGAGAAGAACGCCGGUCCCGGACUGCGCCGCGCCGGCUCAAUCCGUGACAGCCGCCGCGGUAAGACGUAGGGGGCGAGCGUUAUCCGGAUUUACUGGGUGUAAAGGGAGCGUAGACGGCUGUGGAAGUCUGAAGUGAAAUGCCAGGGCUCAACCCUGGGACUGCUUUUGAAACUGUGGAGCUAGAGUGCUGAGGAGGUAAGCGGAAUUCCUAGUGUAGCGGUGAAAUGCGUAGAUAUCAGGAGGAACACCAGUGGCGAAGGCGGCUGACUGGAGAGUAACUGACGCUGAGGCUCGAAAGUGCGGGGAGCAAACAGGAUUAGAUACCCGGGUAGUC